This 706-nucleotide long non-coding RNA is filed under the name Homo sapiens (human). RNAcentral describes it as "HSALNT0296398". Lineage: Eukaryota; Metazoa; Chordata; Mammalia; Primates; Hominidae. The record is from RNAcentral.
UGACAAGUACCUGCCAAACACUGUUGUGAAAACCUCUCUCCUGGGAAAACAAAAGUCAUGACAUUUUGAGCACAAUUGUGUGUGGGAUGCAUUCAUCAAUAGAGCUGGAAGCACCAACCACCAUAGGAGAGGAAACUUUUAGUUACAAGCACAUGAAUAAAUAAAAUCAAACUCAACUGGAAUGACGUUCCUGAGGAUGGAGAUACAUUUUUUUGUUGACCCAUCUAAACUUGAACAGCAAGUGAUAAUCAGUCUCCAAUCAGAAAGUCCCAGAAUGCUGAGUGCUCUGUAUUUGUAAUCCCAUUGCUCCUAUUGAGAAGUUAGCUGUUGGCCAAACUAUUCCUACUUUCAAGGACUUAUAGGAGCAGAAAUCAGAAGACUUUACUCCACACACUUCAGGUGGACAUGUGGACAAAGCCAUCGGAGAACAUGACAAAAAUACAGCAAGAGCAGAGACAAGAUCAGAUCAUCCUGGGGGCAGAUGCUGGGCUCUGACCAAUUUGAGAGAGAAAAGGAAAAAGAACCCAGCUACAAGAUGCACAAGUAGCAGGCCACAGCCACCAACAUCAGCAGAGCAAUUGGAGGCCAGGAAGACAAGGACACUUCUGAAGAGACUGAAAAAAGCAGAAGACAGUCCAAGUCACUGCAAGGUUCCAAGAUGGGGUUUCUGAGAAAGACCAAAUUAGUUAUAGAGCACUAGCUCCCA